AAGGAGCUGGUCGCGGAAGAUGAACUCGACAUGGGUGAGUAGGAUCUUGAGCGCGACGACGCCGACGAGGAACUUGAGAUCUGCAACGGCGUCGCCAUGCCCGAAGCCGCCGGGCGAAUCUCCUUGCCAGCGUCACCGUCGCCUCAUCCAUGCCGUCUGCCUUCCCCGUCCAUGCCGGUGACAAUAGGGUUAAGGAGGAGUAAGGGAUCAUAGUUCGACAGCUUAGACGCGCACAUCGCCCACGAUGAUGCCAUGCAACUGAAAGGGCUGACUUCAUGGAUGGGAUGAUACUUUGUUUCCGUCAAAGCUUUUACUGUUGAACUUCAUUGAUGCGACGACAGGCUGAUUUCAGUUGUCGUUUGCUGUAGGAAUUUGCAGAGUCUUCGUGAGAGCAAGUCUCCAGCAGAGCAACAACAACUAAGGUUAAAGAAGAAGAUACCGCCACGGAAAAUACUGGUUCCCUUACCCCCUAUCCAAUGCUGCUAAUGCCUAUGUGAUCUCUAACUGCACAUUGCAAGAACACGUCAAAUUUGCCAUCGUUUGAUGUUAACUUUUUUUUUGUUUAUGAGGGAAUGAUCUCUGGGUAUUUUUUUUUAGCCGCCUACAUAAUGCUUGAAAGAAUCACGAAUUCAACAAUUCAAUCUUUGUCAAUAUAUGUGAGCAUGCUUCAUGAGUUCUGGGCUAAAAGUGUAGAAACUGAAUAUUCAGAGUCCAUUCGUACUGUAGAACUAUUAAAUAGAUCAAUUUUUGAAAAGCAACAGUAUGGCAUAAAUGUUUUAAGAUCCUUCAUGAAAAACUGAAACAUGAUCAGUUUGCCAUCUACAAUCAGAUGCUUACUUAGUUAAUUUGAUGUUAAAUUUUCCCGUAAAAUAUGAGAGUUCUUAGUUGCUGAAUUCUGUUUUCCUACGAGACAUUGUCUAGAUAUGUAGAUUAAAGAUGGGCGAUGGGUCGGCGCUUUCUGCAGAUUAAGGAAAUCUUUAGGGGAGGCGCUAUGAGCUUUGGACCUCUGCGGAAAUGACGGGGUCCUUGGUCAAUGGAUGUGCCUGCUUACAGGUUUUAUGUGGCAGAAAAUCCAAUUCAUCUGAAGAGCAUAAUUGUUGAGCUAUGACUGAUCAUCACUCUAAAAAAAUACGCCCUUACUUAUGUGGACACCCGUCAUUGCUGAAGAAAUGUUCUCCCCAUAUUAUGCAUUGGAACAUAUUGCAAGAUAAAUUAGCAAAGGUCACCUGUUAGAGAUCUCAUAUAUCUCUUCUAUGUCCAGUCCAAGCUGUGAAGUUUCUUAUUUUUAAAUCACGAGAAUACACUGCCUUGGAAAUUUCAAGUUAUUUGCAUGCCAUGAAAUUGGGGAAACAUACUUCUUUAGGUACAGAUUAAAAUUUAAUGAUGGUUGACGAUGGUAGACAAGCACAGGUUUUUUAUGUGGACUGCUGCAACUAUGAAAUAAAUUUUGAGGAUAUUUGUGAAGUUUGGACCGUUGGACAAAUAUUUAACUUCCCGUUUUGGAGUCGAGCUACAGAAUUAUCAUGGAUGAAAAAUACGAAAAUCUGCUACAUUAGUUCAUGACCUUUUAAGUCACCUGUAGCAUAUUGCAGCUUUAUGCAACUUCAUGUUAGUGCAUACAUUUCCAUUGCGCAGACUACAUAUUUACUUAUUUGUUAUAUAGUUGCAUUAUAACAUCAUGCAUAUUUCCAGUUUAACUGGCCUUUGCAUAUCUUUGUACUUUGUUGUGCAGGACUUUAUUAUAUUCCAUCCUUGCAUUCCAUUUUAGAUUUUUCUAUUUUCAUCUGAACAAGAUUAUAGGUGAUUGUAUUGAAGAUGCACGAGAAAGAAAACGUCAGCCAAUUGAUCUCACGAUUUCUCUGUUUUUGUGCAGUAUUGAAUCAGACUUCCCUGGCGACAGCGAUGAAGAUGGGCCUUCAGCAAACAAAGAGAGCAAAGAAAUCAUGGUCCUCGACUCCUCCAACGUGGACGAUGACGAUGAUGGCAAGCAUUCACAUUUCCAAAGCCACAAAGCAUCACGAUGACGCGAGCAUUCAUAUCUCCAAGCCACAAAGUAUCGAAGAUGGUUAUCCUGGCAUUAGCUUCUUUAAGUUUCCAUCACCCCAUGUAUGUCCAUAUUUUUCAUUUAGUAAAUCCGUUGUGGUUUCUUUCAUGUCCAACAACCUGGCUUGAUGGGCUUUGGAGAGAUGUUUCUAUUGUUAACCGACGCUUUCCCUCAUGUAUGCAAGUAACUUUUAAACGAUCCUACUUGCCAA
Lolium perenne is the source of this 2255-nucleotide long non-coding RNA. RefSeq lists it as uncharacterized. The record is from RefSeq and is a predicted model, not a curated record. NCBI's taxonomy places the organism in Eukaryota, Viridiplantae, Streptophyta, Magnoliopsida, Poales, Poaceae.